Non-coding RNA from Candidatus Coatesbacteria bacterium RBG_13_66_14, 74 nucleotides. Lineage: Bacteria; Candidatus Coatesiibacteriota. The record is from Rfam.
NNNGAAGUAGCUCAGCAGGCCAGAGCUCCCGCCUUGUAAGCGGGUGGUCGUCGGUUCGAAUCCGACCUUCGGCU